UACGUAGGUGGCAAGCGUUAUCCGGAUUUACUGGGCGUAAAGGGCGUGUAGGCGGGACUGCAAGUCAGAUGUGAAACCCAUGGGCUCAACCCAUGGCCUGCAUUUGAAACUGUAGUUCUUGAGUGAUGGAGAGGCAGGCGGAAUUCCGUGUGUAGCGGUGAAAUGCGUAGAUAUACGGAGGAACACCAGUGGCGAAGGCGGCCUGCUGGACAUUAACUGACGCUGAGGCGCGAAAGCGUGGGGAGCAAACAGG
Molecule: ribosomal RNA, 253 nt
Filed under: uncultured bacterium
Lineage: Bacteria
Description: partial 16S ribosomal RNA
Rfam family: Bacterial small subunit ribosomal RNA
Source: RNAcentral